GUGAGGAAUAUUGGACAAUGGGCGCAAGCCUGAUCCAGCCAUGCCGCGUGCAGGAAGACGCAUCUAUGGUGUGUAAACUGCUUUUGUACGGGAAGAAACACUCCCUCGUGAGGGAGCUUGACGGUACCGUAAGAAUAAGGAUCGGCUAACUCCGUGCCAGCAGCCGCGGUAAUACGGAGGAUCCAAGCGUUAUCCGCAAUCAUUGGGUUUAAAGGGUCCGUAGGCGGGUUAAUAAGUCAGUGGUGAAAGCCCAUCGCUCAACGAUGGAACGGCCAUUGAUACUGUUAGACUUGAAUUACAAGGAAGUAACUAGAAUAUGUAGUGUAGCGGUGAAAUGCUUAGAUAUUACAUGGAAUACCAAUUGCGAAGGCAGGUUACUACUUGUGGAUUGACGCUGAUGGACGAAAGCGUGGGGAGCGAACAGGAUUAGAAACCCUAGUAGUCC
Molecule: ribosomal RNA, 445 nt
Filed under: uncultured bacterium
Lineage: Bacteria
Description: partial 16S ribosomal RNA
Rfam family: Bacterial small subunit ribosomal RNA
Source: RNAcentral